UUGUAUGUUGGAGCAUCUUUUGGGU
This 25-nucleotide non-coding RNA is filed under the name Rattus norvegicus (Norway rat). The record is from RNAcentral. Lineage: Eukaryota; Metazoa; Chordata; Mammalia; Rodentia; Muridae.